GCUACAACCUAGUGGGAAAAUCUGAAGGCAUGAAACUAGUUCAAGGUGUAUAGCUUUUCAGGGAGGGCAGCUGUUCAAGGUGAGAUACAGAGCAGUUCAAGGCGAAGUGAGGGUCUGGAUGGCAGGCAGUUUCAAAGUGGGCUGCAUGUGGCAGAGAGAUGGAGUUGAGCUGAAUCCCCUGGGGACAAAGUCUAGUGCUGAUCUCCUGUUGGCCUCCUGGCCUCCUGGUCUGAGAAGAUGAUGGUCUGAUGGGACAAUGACUCCAUGUGUGCCCCCGCACCCCGGUCUUUCUCCUUUUAUGUCUUUUAGGUGAAGAGUUACAUCAUAUGGUGGUUUGUUGUGUUUGAUCAUCUCACCAGUCUGGUUUCUCUGAUCUGGUUUGAUAUGCCCAUGCAUCCAUGGGCUUCUGAGUUAAUUUGGUAAGUUCACAAGUGACCAUUUUUUUUAUCAGCAUGAUUGAUUUCUCAGUUUGAGCCUUAUGAUUGUGCUGUGCAGCUGGGGGUUAUUCUUUCUGAUGAGUUCUGUGUGUCC
RNAcentral lists this long non-coding RNA (531 nucleotides) under Marmota monax (woodchuck). The record is from RNAcentral. Lineage: Eukaryota; Metazoa; Chordata; Mammalia; Rodentia; Sciuridae.